CCGCUGAGGCCCAGGUGCACAGGUACCCGGGUGCUAGCCACAGACGGUUCGACACCUGAGCCGAAGCGGAAAGUAGUUACUUGAGGUGGACACUCCAGCAUGAGCAGGGGCGGGACCGGCGGUACUACAUAGUCACGCUCUUACUCAUGUUGAUCGCUCUUCUAUUCUACAUCAUGUUGUAGAUAGAGAUGAUGAAACUUGUGGGUGUGCCAUGACCAUGCAGUUGCACUUAUUCGAGACAUGACAUGAUCGCACUUAUGUAUCGCUAUUUUCGAGAUGAUGUGAUGAUAUUUGUGUUGAAUGAUGAUGAUGAUUAUGGUAUG
RNAcentral lists this long non-coding RNA (323 nucleotides) under Hordeum vulgare. RNAcentral describes it as "long non-coding RNA (HVUL_LNC005271)". The record is from RNAcentral. Lineage: Eukaryota; Viridiplantae; Streptophyta; Magnoliopsida; Poales; Poaceae.